AUAGAUUGUGUAUUUGACUACUUCAAAGGACCGUCAAUGAUUGACGCUGUCGGCAAGUCGGUCUUCGGUUACUUCACACGAACAAUACUUUCAUGGACAAUGUAUCAAAAAUUUAAAUUUCCUAACAAAUGAUUUUGAUUUUUAAAUUUCGUAUCUCAAAAGACUGACUCGAAGGCAGUGCCAUCUCUGAUGUUUGCGGUAGUGACGAAAGCAAUUUCCACAAUCUAUUUCAAAUUUUAUUUUCUGAUUGAA
This is a long non-coding RNA of Bradysia coprophila, 252 nucleotides long. The record is from RefSeq and is a predicted model, not a curated record. Lineage: Eukaryota; Metazoa; Arthropoda; Insecta; Diptera; Sciaridae.